AAUAAAUGCAAUUAUGAGUUUCUGUGUCCAACUUUAUCAUCCGUCUUAUUUAAUUUUUUUUAUGAUUAGUAUUUUUAUUGUUACUAGAUUAUAAAAUAUAAAUAGUACUUUAUGCGUGACUUAUGCUUUUUAGUUUUUUCAAAAAAAAUUUCAAAUAAACCGGACGAUCAAAGUUGGAUACGAAAACUCAUGGCUGUGCUUAUU
This is a non-coding RNA of Oryza glumipatula, 204 nucleotides long. Lineage: Eukaryota; Viridiplantae; Streptophyta; Magnoliopsida; Poales; Poaceae. The record is from Rfam.